GAUGAACGCUGGCGGCGUGCCUAAUACAUGCAAGUCGAGCGAACAGACGAGGAGCUUGCUCCUCUGACGUUAGCGGCGGACGGGUGAGUAACACGUGGAUAACCUACCUAUAAGACUGGGAUAACUUCGUGAAACCGGAGCUAAUACCGGAUAAUAUAUUGAACCGCAUGGUUCAAUAGUGAAAGACGGUUUUGCUGUCACUUAUAGAUGGAUCCGCGCCGCAUUAGCUAGUUGGUAAGGUAACGGCUUACCAAGGCAACGCUACGUAGCCGACCUGAGAGAGUGAUCGGCCACAAUGGAAAUGAAGCACCAUCCAGGGUACUAAGAGGGGCACAAUGAGGAAACCUUCCACAAUGGGCGUAAGCCUACCGGCGAAACGGCGCGAGGGUGAGACAGGUCUCAGGAACGUAAAGAUCUAUUACUCAGGAAGAACGAAUGUAUAGGUAACUAUGCAAGUCUCGACGGUACAUGAUCAGACAGCGCCGGCUAACUCCAUA
RNAcentral lists this ribosomal RNA (497 nucleotides) under uncultured bacterium. Its description in RNAcentral is "partial 16S ribosomal RNA". It matches the Rfam family "Bacterial small subunit ribosomal RNA", at positions 28 to 507 of the family's 1533-position model. The record is from RNAcentral.